AGAGUGAAGUUGAAAUAAAUAGAACCUUAAGCUCUUACCAAAGAGAUCAAAGUACGAUAGUGAGAUUGGUACGACGUCGGAAUUGAAGAGCAACGACGAGAUUGAAACGGGCCUAAAACCAGAAGAAAACAUCGGGGUUAAUGCGAAUUUAAGCAAAUGACAACCAUUAGAUUGGUGCGACCACAACCGAAAAAGAAAGAUACAUGCAAGAGAGCUUAAUGAUUAGGUUAACUGAAAGGAAGGAGUAUUAUGGUUUGUUUAGAAUUUUUAGAAGAGAUAAAAAAAAUAAAAACAUUAAAAAGUAAUCAUC
RNAcentral lists this long non-coding RNA (310 nucleotides) under Lathyrus oleraceus (garden pea). RNAcentral's name for it is "Pisum sativum (pea) long non-coding RNA (PSAT_LNC041768)". Lineage: Eukaryota; Viridiplantae; Streptophyta; Magnoliopsida; Fabales; Fabaceae. The record is from RNAcentral.